This 1572-nucleotide long non-coding RNA is filed under the name Phaseolus vulgaris (common bean). RNAcentral describes it as "long non-coding RNA (PVUL_LNC002591)". The record is from RNAcentral. Lineage: Eukaryota; Viridiplantae; Streptophyta; Magnoliopsida; Fabales; Fabaceae.
ACCAGGGAAGACAUUGACACUGAUAUGCUUCCAGGAAUCGUCCAACACAAGAAAACUCCUCUCUGCCUUGUUCCUAAGAUGCAUGCGUGAUUCCGAAUUUGCAUGACAAUCUUAUGCUUAAACUAGUUGCAAAAUAAGUCAUGCAGUCUGUAGGUCGUGUCAGAAAGAAUAAAAAAGAUUAAAUAAGUGUUUAUCUAUGCCCCCAUGAUCAUACUCCAAUUUGGGUUUGCAAGAAAUGAAGUGCUCUGUAAGAAAAAUUUUAGUAUAAUUAAUGAAGAACUUUUGUAUUUUGAUUAUGAGAGUAGUAGAUAUUUUACAUAAUGGAAUGUAGGUUAAUACCGAAUGUAUGAAUGAAGCAGAAGCAACCUGAUACCUUGAGACUCCAUUCAGUAAGAAUAUACUCUUAACAAAUAAAUAAAUUAUCCUGAGAAAGAGUAGAUAACACUGUUCAACAACCCUUUAUAAUAAUAUUAUAAUAUUUUAAUAUUUUAAAUUAAAAAUUAAAAUGAAAAUAUUUAUUUAUUUAGAGUAUGUUUUUACAGUAUCAAGUUAUGAGGGUCCAAGUAAAAUAUUGGGAAGAACGUAAAGGAUACUUCCUAGGAGUCGCAAAGAAAAACAGAUUCUACAGUAUAAGAAUUGUACCAAGAGGUCAUCAUCGCCUAUAAGCUUAGACUUAAACAUUCCUUCCACACUUGCAUCAAAACAAAUGCAACAUAAACCAAUUACAGCACCAAGAACUGCACAAGCAGCAAUGAUGCCAUGACAGAACAGACCGACCAGAAUCAUAACAUUACAAUCCUAGCACCCUUCCGAAUAAUUCUAACCAUAAGCAUCAACUCCCCUUACCAUUGUUGCAUUGCAAGACCAUCUGCAACAAGCUAUAGGUACUACAUAACCAAAGAAACGGAAAAAAUAAACACACAAAUUUGGCACGCAAAGCUGAUAAGUUAGCUGCAUAAAAUAUGUCACAACAAUAACUCAAAACAUGGGAGAAUCUGAACAGCUAAAGAUGGAAGUUCUGCAGUGUAUUUGGCUCAACACACAAACCAAAACCAGUGGAUUACCUAAUGUUGUAACCCGUAGAACAUCUUCAAACAACAUCUGAUAUGGCUUGGCACACCUUCCAGAAUUGGAUCUGUAGCAUGUGUAUAAAGACAAACCCCGCACCUGUAGCACCCUCAGCAAAUUCUGCUUUUCUAGAUCCCCUUCUUCUUAGCUUCAUAUCCGUUCUGCUGUGAAUUUUCCAGAAUUGGGAGUUAAUAAGUAUCAAAUUCCAUUAAUAUUUCAUAUUAAAAUAUAAUACUAGUGGGUAUUAAUUGUUAAAAUAAGUAUAAAAUAACCCUUAAUUUAUGAAAUUAUACAUUUUUAUAUAUUUUGUGAUUUAAAUUUAAAUAAGAAUGAUUUAUUUCUAAAUUUGUGUUAAUUUUAGAAUUUUAGGGAAGAAUGGACAUACCUGAACAAAAGGAGAAUAUACAAAGCUAAAAAUGGAAAGUUGAAAUGCACCAACAUCUCCUAAGCUGCUCCAAACUCGCAAAAAGCCUGGAUGCCACUAGUGGAUCUCGCUCAAGCGAG